CCCUAAGUUUCCAGUUCCAGCAGCUAUAUGGCUCUUUUUUCAUGUUUCACACACAUAAGACAUUGACAAAGGCCCUAAAAAGAAGAGACACGGGAGGCAGCCAAAGAGAUACCUAACACUCAAUCAGAGCCAUGCAAGUGAGGAGAGCAUUAGGAGUUUUUGGGAGCCAGGCCAAGUGUUUUUCUACCAGAGGAAUAAUUUAGGGUUUGUGCGCAGUCAGCAGCUUGGAAAAGGUACAAGAACACAGGAGCUGGACAACCGGGAGGCCCCGGAAAACCCGCUCAGCCCUGCCAAAGUCCACCAGACAGACAAACCCUUCACGGUCAAGACUGUUAAGCAAAGGAGGAUUCGUUUCUUCCAUCCAUCAGGCCAGGAGAAUAAUUACAAGUAGAACAACAGAAACAAAGGAUGUGACAAGGAUGCCGUUUGCCCUGAUGGCACAGAAGCAACGGCAGUAAGAUCGCUGGCCCCUGAGCACGAUUCAAGACAGCAGUUACCGUAUUCUGGCACCAAGCACUACCUCCAUCUCACCAUGAAACCCCAGGACCUGCUGGUUAAGGCCUGUUUCAUAUUUAAGAAGGUCUUGAAACACUAGAGACUCCAUGUUGAUAUUCGAUUGGACAUACAAAGCACUUUGGCUGCCCUCCGAGGGUGAUGGUGGUCCAGUCCCCUCUUUCCAUGGGACACCUUCUUUACUGCAAAGACAGCUACCAACUGUGGUUACUCAGACUCAGGUAUUUGCCAAGACUUUCUUGAAAAUGAACCUGCCACUUGAUGGAAAAUAACUGCGUUUUUAUUGCCAAUGAGAAAAUUCAAGCUUUCAAGUGAAAAAACAGAAUUUUAGAAAACUUAUCUUCCAUGAACUUGACAGCCCUAAUAAAGGUGUUUAUGAGAUUGAUGGUGA
Neofelis nebulosa (Clouded leopard) is the source of this 904-nucleotide long non-coding RNA. RefSeq lists it as uncharacterized. The record is from RefSeq and is a predicted model, not a curated record. The transcript has 2 exons. NCBI's taxonomy places the organism in Eukaryota, Metazoa, Chordata, Mammalia, Carnivora, Felidae.